ACUUGACCAGCGAAUCUAUAACUGGCAAGGGGAAGACGCAGUGAACUGAAACAUCUAAGUAGCUGCAGGAAGAGAAAGAAAUUCGAUUCCCUCAGUAGCGGCGAGCGAACGGGGAAGAGCCCAAACCAACGAGCUUGCUUGUUGGGGUUGUAGGACUGAACAUUUGAGUUACCAAAGUUCGACGUAGUCGAAACAGUUGGAAAACUGUGCCAGAGCGGGUGAGAGCCCCAUAGGCGAAACGUCGAACCCUCAGUUCAGGAUCCUGAGUACGGCGGAACACGUGUAACUCCGUCGGAAACCGCGAGGACCAUCUCGCAAGGCUAAAUACUACCUAGUGACCGAUAGUGAACCAGUACCGUGAGGGAAAGGUGAAAAGCACCCCGGGAGGGGAGUGAAAUAGUUCCUGAAACCAUGUGCCUACAAGCUGUCGGAGCCCGUUAAUGGGUGACGGCGUGCCUCUCGCAGAAUGAACCGGCGAGUUAUGAUCACGUGCAAGGUUAAGGCGGAAAAGCCGGANNNNNNNNNNNNNNNNNNNNNNNNNNNNNNNNNNNNNNNNNNNNNNNNNNNNCGAAAGCGAGUCUGAAAUGGGCGUACGAAGUACGUGGUUAUAUACCCGAAACCAGGUGAUCUAACCAUGACCAGGUUGAAGGUGCGGUAAAACGCACUGGAGGACCGAACCCGUAUCUGUUGCAAAAGGUUGGGAUGAGUUGUGGUUAGCGGUGAAAUUCCAAACGAACUUGGAGAUAGCUGGUUCUCUCCGAAAUCUCUUUAGGGGGAGCCUUGGAUUAAGAAUCUUGGAGGUAGAGCUACUGUUUGGACUAGGGGCCCGUCAUGGGUUACUGACUUCAGAUAAACUCCGAAUGCCAAUGAUUUAUAUCCAGGAGUCACACGAUGAGCGAUAAGGUCCACCGUGGAAAGGGGAACAGCCCAGAUCACCAGUUAAGGUCCCAAAAUAUAUGCUAAGUGGAAAAGGAUGUGGAGUUGCAUAGACAACUAGGAUGUUGGCUCAGAAGCAGCCAUCAUUUAAAGAGUGCGUAAUAGCUCACUAGUCGAGUGAUCCUGCGCCGAAAAUGUACCGGGGCUAAGCAUAUUACCGAAACUGUGGAUGUGCACGUUAGUGCACGUGAUAGGAGAGCGUUCUAAGGGCGGCGAAGUCAGACCGUGAGGACUGGUGGAGCGCUUAGAAGUGAGAAUGCCG
This 1198-nucleotide ribosomal RNA is filed under the name Limosilactobacillus reuteri. RNAcentral describes it as "partial 23S ribosomal RNA". It matches the Rfam family "Bacterial large subunit ribosomal RNA", at positions 150 to 1299 of the family's 2925-position model. The record is from RNAcentral. Lineage: Bacteria; Bacillati; Bacillota; Bacilli; Lactobacillales; Lactobacillaceae.